RNAcentral lists this ribosomal RNA (253 nucleotides) under uncultured bacterium. RNAcentral's name for it is "partial 16S ribosomal RNA". It matches the Rfam family "Bacterial small subunit ribosomal RNA", at positions 524 to 776 of the family's 1533-position model. The record is from RNAcentral.
UACAGAGGGUGCAAGUGUUGUUCGGAAUCAUUGGGCGUAAAGGGCGCGUAGGUGGUAUGGUAAGUCAGAUGUGAAAUCCCUGGGCUCAACCCAGGAAUUGCAUUUGAUACUAUCAAACUAGAGUGCGAAAGAGGGUAGUGGAAUUCCCGGUGUAGAGGUGAAAUUCGUAGAGAUCGGGAGGAACACCAGUGGCGAAAGCGGCUACCUGGUUCGUAACUGACACUGAGGCGCGAAAGCGUGGGGAGCAAACAGG